CUGGAAGUUCAGAUUGUAUAAGAGCUCAUUGUAAAGGACCCAGAGCGGGCCAAACCGGAGCCGGCGGGUUUAAAAAUAAACAUCCAGUCCAGAGUCCUCCAACAGCAAAUAUUUUCUGUAACCAAAAAAAGGAACUUAUCUAAAACCAACAGGUCAACUUUCCACUGAACACCACGAGGACGCAAACACGCCGGCCUCCGGUCUACCACUCUGACCUCAGCUUAUCAGGAAAACACAGCUGCCAAAGUAAUCACAUUACACUGAAUGACCUCCAAAGGUUUCCAGGCAGAUGUAUUUCAACAAGGUCGAAGCACCGAGUACACACGAAUACCAGGAACACAAACACGGCGAAGACGUCCCCCUCCGAGCUCCUACGCCUCAGCGAGAUCAUAGAACAGCAGCACCCGGCCGCAGGUUGUGGACCCUGCAGGUCAGCAAACCCACCUUGAACCACCAUGACCAGCGUCAACUCUCCAGCCUGCCUGCUCGCCCGAAACCACUUCUACCGAAGUCUACCGCCGAGUCCAGAACCCACCAAGCCCGCACACAAGCAGAGACUGCCCACGCUUUGGGUUACCGUGGAAACAGCUCCAGGACUGCCGGGUCUCGUGGGAACCAAAGGAUUAUGGGUCAGCAUCGUCCUCGGCUCUUCUUCCUCUUCCUCCAACUUCAAACCAAGCAACCCCGCCGACCAGAGAGCCAAGUAGAUGAAACAAGCACACCGUUCCUCUGCGUUCCUCUGAACGUCCACACUCAAUAACAGGGCGGCGAUCCCCUGGGGACAGGCUCCUCCUCCUCUGAGCUCACUGUAGCAGGCAACGAACCACAGAGCGACCCUCCAGAACCACGAGCAGGGCGUGGCUAAAAAAAAAAAUGGCUCCAGUUCCUCAAACCAAAGCGUGAACUCGUUCCUGAUUGGUUUAUGGUUUUGUUGCUGUUUUCAGGUGUCAGUGAAUAAAACGUGAAACUGGUGAAGUGAUGGUGAUGUUAGAGCAGGGCGCCCGGAUGAAGAGCCCCACACGGCCACAGAAGCUCGUUUCACUUCCUCUUUUAGUUCCUGUGAUAUUUGAGGCCACAUGUGCGAACUGUGACGAGGGCUUUAAUCUAAACGUUCUGACUGCAUGUGUGACGAUUAUCACACUAAUUUCACACGCGUGUUCUUUAAACUGCAUUCAGUGAUGUUUGAUUUACUGUUUUGUGGGCGUCUUCGUUUUCACCUCCUAAAUAAACGGCGCUCGGUCCCUGUGCAUGCUGCAGGCCGGGACCACUUCAGUAUAUGUCAGAGAACAUGACGCAUGCUAAUCUGCAGGCAGUUCAUAGAUGCAGUGACAGGUGUCUACAGGUGUGCGGAGACAGGUAGAUUUACCUGCUGCAUCGGGUUGAUGCUGAUAUUUCAUCACGGCCUCCGGAGUGAGCUUUAUGUCUCAAUCUGCUCCAACAAUGAAAUCAAAUAAAGUGCAACAGCUGAGCGAGCUUUCAUUCAGCAAUAAAGCUACACAACAUGGGGCGCUCAUUUACAAACACCAGUCGAACUGAAGUUUCACACUUUGUUUGGUAGAAAAAAAUCAAAUUGUUGCUUAAAUUUUCACAAAAUGUCAGAAUCUGCACGUCAUGAACAAAAAUUUAAAGCUAAUUUUUCAGGAUUUGUUGGGUUCAUCCUCUGGGGGCCGCGAUGUCAUUUGUAUUUCACCUCUUUCCCCUCCUCGCCGUGUUUGGUCUCAUUCUCUUCAGCUCAGCCUCACGUGUCUGAAUUUACACUGAUUGUUUCACGGACAUGUUGUAGAAACACAACUGAUCUGAAAUCACACAAAAACAUAAAAUCCUCGUAGUAGUUAUAUUUGUUUACUGUUAAAAGCACAAACAUGUUUAGUGAAUGAUUUUCAAAACUUGAAAUGCAAAUAUAAACUGAAAACCUAAGCACAAAGUUUGUAAACAAUAAAGUCAUAAACAAAUAUUUAUCUAAAAACACAGCCAAUGGAUCUGGUGGGUUUAUUGUGCAACAUUUAAAAAUACUACUAUAACUAAAACGAGAGAACAAUCGGGUGUCACACAAAUUAUUUGUGCCAGUAAAACAAUAAAUUGUUGCCACACCUGCAGCCUGACAGCAGGUGCAUCCCUGCUCCUGUUUUCACCUGGAGACAGUGUUUACACUGCAGUCUGUGACAGUCAGUAGUGCCCUCACUGACACACAACACACUAAGCGUGGCUCUCACUGCCGUCACUUCUAAAACUUUCCCCUCUUCCUAAACAACCAAUCCUACUGUUGCCACAUUUUACAUGGUACAUUUUUCCACCAAUAGGAGAGAGGUGGCUUUUUUUCUUUUUUUACUGUUUCCGUGCUGUCC
Long non-coding RNA from Oreochromis aureus, 2345 nucleotides. Lineage: Eukaryota; Metazoa; Chordata; Actinopteri; Cichliformes; Cichlidae. The record is from Ensembl.